This 491-nucleotide ribosomal RNA is filed under the name uncultured bacterium. RNAcentral describes it as "partial 16S ribosomal RNA". It matches the Rfam family "Bacterial small subunit ribosomal RNA", at positions 27 to 507 of the family's 1533-position model. The record is from RNAcentral.
GGAUGAACGCUAGCGGCAGGCUUACUACAUGCAAGUCGAGGGGCAGCACGUUUCGCCGCAAUGCGGGAUGGUGGCGACCGGCAAACGGGUGAGGAUCGCGUACACAAUCUUCCCAGAGCAGGGGGAUAACCCGGGGAAACCCGGACUAAUACCCCGUAGUUUACUUUGAAGGCAUCUUUGAGGUAAUAAAACUCCGGUGGCUUUGGAUGAGUGUGCGUCCCAUUAGGUAGUUGGCAGGGUAACGGCCUACCAAGCCUUCGAUGGGUAACUGGUGUGAGAGCACGACCAGUAACACGGGCACUGAGACACGGGCCCGACUCCUACGGGAGGCAGCAGUAAGGAAUAUUGGUCAAUGGACGCAAGUCUGAACCAGCCAUGCCGCGUGAAGGAUGAAGGUCCUCUGGAUUGUAAACUUCUUUUAUAGGGGGCGAAAAAAGGGUUUUGUAACUCACUUGACGGUACCUUAUGAAUAAGCACCGGCUAACUCCGUG